RNAcentral lists this long non-coding RNA (700 nucleotides) under Solanum tuberosum (potato). RNAcentral's name for it is "long non-coding RNA (STUB_LNC009469)". The record is from RNAcentral. Lineage: Eukaryota; Viridiplantae; Streptophyta; Magnoliopsida; Solanales; Solanaceae.
CUCCUCACUUACUGUUACGGUAUAAAUUGGACCUUUUUAAGUCCAAAAGUUCCCAAUUUUAGUCCUUUUGGGACUGCUUCUACUGCUGCAAUAAUCAAAUUGGAUUCUUAAAUCCAAAAUUCAAUUUUCGGCCAUUUGGAAUUGUUGUUACUCCGCUACUUAGCUGCUGCCACUGAUUUGGGUUUUAACCCAUUAAUAUUAGCUUCCCCUUUAUAACUUUGGCGGAGGUCGACUCAAAGAAAGGAAGAUGCAAGAGAGGGGAGUCCAAUUGGACUCAUUCGGAGGGAGUUCCUGCAAAGUAGAGAAAAGGAAGAAGAAUUAGCACAUGUAGCGAGAAAAUGACACUUCAGUUUUAAACAUUCAAACACAAGGAUGAAAUUAACCAAAUAAAACUAUCGUGAACAAAGGGGGAAAAGAAACAGAUCCGAAGCUAUUGCUAAGUUCAUAAAUCCACAAAAUGAUUAAUUAGUCACUGGACCUUUUGAUCUAUACAACCAGCAAAAGGCAUACUUACAAUGGCCAAAAUUGUACUAAACAUGCAAACGUAAUCAGCCAUCAGUUAAAUAAAAGAAAAGAUAGUAGCGUUCCGAUUUUAGCUUAGACUUCAUAUAUCAUUGACUAGUGACUUCUUUCACCAAAAACAAGCUCAACGUACAUAUCUAUAACAAAACUACAAAAGCAGACCCCAAAAGCAGAGCCU